This 73-nucleotide transfer RNA is filed under the name Candidatus Omnitrophota bacterium. RNAcentral describes it as "tRNA-Thr". It matches the Rfam family "tRNA". Rfam says of the family: Transfer RNA (tRNA) molecules are approximately 80 nucleotides in length. Their secondary structure includes four short double-helical elements and three loops (D, anti-codon, and T loops). Further hydrogen bonds mediate the characteristic L-shaped molecular structure. tRNAs have two regions of fundamental functional importance: the anti-codon, which is responsible for specific mRNA codon recognition, and the 3' end, to which the tRNAs corresponding amino acid is attached (by aminoacyl-tRNA synthetases). tRNAs cope with the degeneracy of the genetic code in two manners: having more than one tRNA (with a specific anti-codon) for a particular amino acid; and 'wobble' base-pairing, i.e. permitting non-standard base-pairing at the 3rd anti-codon position. Lineage: Bacteria; Pseudomonadati; Candidatus Omnitrophota. The record is from RNAcentral.
GCUGGCGUAGCUCAGUUGGUAGAGCAGCGCAUUCGUAAUGCGCGGGCCACCAGUUCAAUUCUGGUCGCCAGCU